This is a long non-coding RNA of Mercenaria mercenaria, 833 nucleotides long. RefSeq lists it as uncharacterized. Lineage: Eukaryota; Metazoa; Mollusca; Bivalvia; Venerida; Veneridae. The record is from RefSeq and is a predicted model, not a curated record. The transcript is spliced from 2 exons.
GUUUACUGGCCUUGUUUUCCAGACAUCCUGUAUGUCAGUAAGUUAUUUAUAUUCUAUGGUGUUCCAGAAUAUUCUAUAACAAUACUGAUGAAUAGGGUGUAACAAUUAUUUUUUAAGUCUGAAUUAGUCUUGGUUUUUCCAGAAUCUUCUUUUUUGAUUCUUGGUGAUACAUAAACGUUCUGGAACCUUCUAUGAUGCUUUAAAUAGGAAUUUGUCUGAGGUUAGGGAAGAACCUAUAGUAAGAUCUUAUUGAAAAACUUUCCUGUAUUUCUUAAUAACAAAAUAUUACAAGUUGGGACAUUUAACAGUUGAAGGAUUUACAUUAUCAUUAUGAAUUUAAAGAAAGGAUUUAUAUUCUUUGAAUGUACUAAAUUCAGUUUGGACUGUGUGAAAUAGAAAGUGACUUCUUAAAAAAACAUUUUUGUAGUUUUGACUACUUUUAAUACCUACAUAUAUUGUGAAAUAUUAUGGAAUUUUUACUGAUUGGAUUUAAAUUUGACCAGGACAGAACUUGGAUUAUUAUUUCAUAUUAGAUUGGAUUUUAUGGCUAGUUAACAUUUUGAAGGGGCAUAAUUUGUGCUUUACGACCAGUCUACACCAUAUUUUGCUGGGAUAAAGUCAAAAUUUGACAGAACUAGAACUUUAGUAAAAGCACAUGAUUGUUUCCAAGCGUAAUUUAAAGAGAAAGGUGAAUUGGUAUGCAAUAUUCAGCCAUGUAACAGGGACAUCUUGUGAUACAAGUUAAUGCUUUUAUUUGGAAUACAGAAAAGGAAAUGAACAAAAAUCGUACAAAAAAUGUAUGUAAUUAUAAUAAAUCAAUAACAAAUAAUCAA